Molecule: ribosomal RNA, 467 nt
Filed under: uncultured bacterium
Lineage: Bacteria
Description: partial 16S ribosomal RNA
Rfam family: Bacterial small subunit ribosomal RNA
Source: RNAcentral
GAUGAACGCUGACAGAAUGCUUAACACAUGCAAGUCCACUUGAAUUUGGGUUUUUAACUUAGGUUUGGGUGGCGGACGGGUGAGUAACGCGUAAAGAACUUGCCUCACAGCUAGGGACAACAUUUGGAAACGAAUGCUAAUACCUAAUAUUAUGAUAAUAGGGCAUCCUAUAAUUAUGAAAGCUAUAAGCGCUGUGAGAGAGCUUUGCGUCCCAUUAGCUAGUUGGAGAGGUAACGGCCCACCAAGGCGAUGAUGGGUAGCCGGCCUGAGAGGGUGAUCGGCCACAAGGGGACUGAGACACGGCCCUUACUCCUACGGGAGGCAGCAGUGGGGAAUAUUGGACAAUGGACCGAGAGUCUGAUCCAGCAAUUCUGUGUGCACGAUGAAGUUUUUCGGAAUGUAAAGUGCUUUCAGUUGGGAAGAAACAAAUGACGGUACCAACAGAAGAAGUGACGGCUAAAUACGUG